This 137-nucleotide non-coding RNA is filed under the name Neobittarella massiliensis (ex Bilen et al. 2018). Its description in RNAcentral is "Lysine riboswitch". It matches the Rfam family "Lysine riboswitch aptamer", at positions 5 to 146 of the family's 182-position model. Rfam says of the family: Riboswitches are metabolite binding domains within certain messenger RNAs that serve as precision sensors for their corresponding targets. Allosteric rearrangement of mRNA structure is mediated by ligand binding, and this results in modulation of gene expression. The record is from RNAcentral. Lineage: Bacteria; Bacillati; Bacillota; Clostridia; Eubacteriales; Oscillospiraceae.
GUUGGUAGAGGCGCAGUGCGGAUGAGUACCGCGGCACAGGGGGCACCCGGUGACGCCGCGGAAAAGGCCAAAUUGCCGAAACUGGCUGCCGGGCGCGGCAGGUCAGUUGGGCGCAGGGAAAACAUCUCUGUGACUCC